UACGUAGGGUGCGAGCGUUAAUCGGAAUUACUGGGCGUAAAGCGUGCGCAGGCGGUUUUGUAAGCCAGAUGUGAAAUCCCCGGGCUCAACCUGGGAAUGGCAUUUGGGACUGCAAGGCUGGAGUGCGGCAGAGGAGACUGGAAUUCCUGGUGUAGCAGUGAAAUGCGUAGGUAUCAGGAGGAAUACCGAUGGCGAAGGCAGGUCUCUGGGCUGACACUGACGCUCAUGCACGAAAGCGUGGGGAGCAAACAGG
RNAcentral lists this ribosomal RNA (253 nucleotides) under uncultured bacterium. Its description in RNAcentral is "partial 16S ribosomal RNA". It matches the Rfam family "Bacterial small subunit ribosomal RNA", at positions 524 to 776 of the family's 1533-position model. The record is from RNAcentral.